Macaca fascicularis (crab-eating macaque) is the source of this 2371-nucleotide long non-coding RNA. Lineage: Eukaryota; Metazoa; Chordata; Mammalia; Primates; Cercopithecidae. The record is from Ensembl.
GCAGAGGUUGCAGUGAGCCAAGGUUGCCCCACUGCACUUCAGCCUGGGCAACGAGCAAAACUCUGUCUCAGAAAAAGAAGAAAAUGAUUGAGAAUGGUUUAUUCAUUUCAUGUUGUCAGAAGUGUUUCCAAAGAAAAAGGGCAAAUUCUUCCACUUAUAUUAGUAUUAUGUUUGCCGGUUAACAUUUGGCCAUGUUUGCGUUUCCUGUGGUUUUUCACUACACAUGUAUAUACAGUUAUGUAGGGACCCAUUUAUACCCACGCAUGUUCUGAUGCGAUUGUUUGAGUACAGACAUGGCGAUGCUUCACCUGGUAGCCUCAGCCUGCAGCCUGGGAACGACAGCGUCCUCCAUGGCACCACAGCACCUCUCGACCAGCUUCCGGUCCCGGCAUUCUUCGUUAAAACUAAGACUUCCUGUGCCGCUCUCCCUCUGUCCCCCGCAGAGAUCACUCUGCUUGUCUUUAGGCCACUGAAGUAGUCCCGGAGGGCCUGGGUCCGCGAGCUUGGUGAAAAGCGAUGCUCCGACCUCCUCAUCUGUGACACUCGAGGGCUCCUCGUCCACUGUAGCAAGUGCAGAGGACACGGCCCGGGCAGUGCCUGCGGGGAGACGGCACUGGCCUGGACUGCGCGGUGAGCAGGGCUCCUCAGGCUUCCUGGGCCCUUGUCCUCCCAGGCUGGUGGCACUGUGUGCCUGUUGUAGGGGCCGGGUGCAGGCAGCGGGAAGGCCCAGGUGUGGCUUGCAGGCCUCUAAUGCCAACUGCACCACCUUGAAGCUCCACUCCAGCUAUGCUGUGGCCCCAUGGCCAGGUCUGGGGUCGUUUCUUAUGACACCACCUGUCCUAUUUUUGUUACCUGGUCCCUGCGCUAGUUAAAAAGCAAGUAGAAAGGUUAAGCAUCACUUGUGCGGUCCCCUGGCAGCUAGGUGACAGCCCCUCUGUCAGUCACGUCAGUCAUCAGGGCUAGAAGGGUCCAUGCUCACUGGACCUGUCCGGCCUCCUCCUGACCAUCAGCAAGGGCACCACCCACUCUGAGCUGCUGUGGCCCAUGACGCCACCGUUUCCUUUCUCUCUAAUUGUUCAGGCAGGCCUGUGAGCCCACAGAAUGACAGCCUCAAGCUCCGGGCCUCAGGGUGGGCCCCUGACAAGGAUUCUGUUCUUACCACUGAUCUUUCAUGCUGACGGAAAGGCACAGGGCAGGCGGCCGGCCAGCUGUCGCGGGCUCGAGUGAAAUCUGUGGAUAAGUGCGGAGAUAGGAGACACUGCACUGGUGAUACCUCAGGGCCUCGGGGCCACACCAACAGGGGCCGGCUGGUGCCGUGACCCAGUCACAGUGCCUGUCUCUGUCAUCAGCUUUUCCUUUUCCCCCAUAUUUUCACCUUGGUUAGAGGGCAGGAGGUCCGCUCGGUUUGCCAGCAACCUCACAUUGAUAAGAGUAAGGGCACUUCUAGCUCUCCAAUCCUGGGAUUUUAUGAGAUAUGACGGGUUUUGUGUCCCUGGAAGGAUGUAGGACUGUGCCUGUCAUUGGGUUGGUUCUCAUCUAGACAGAGCGGGUGCCUGUUUAUUGAGCAGCCUGGGUCUCCACCCCCAGAAGUGUGCGUAGGAGGAUCUCUGAAUCCAUUCUUUUCAUUCCCCACUCUGCCGUGAAUACUGUUGCAAGCAUCCACAUUAAUAUCUAUUUUGUAAUUCUUUUUUUUUUUUCUUUUUUGAAAUGGAGUCUUGCUCUGUUGCCAGGCUGGAGUGCAGUGGAGCAAUCUGAGCUCACUGCAACCUCCACCUCCUGGGUUCAAGUGAUUCUCCUGCCUCAGCCUCCCGAGUAGCUGGGAUUACAGGCACCUGCCACCACACCCAGCUAUUUUUUGUAUUUUUGGUAGAGACGGGGUUUCACCAUGUUGGUCGGUAUGGUCUCGAUCUCUUGACCUCGUGAUCCACCUGCCUCAGCCUCCCAAAGUGCUGGGAUUACAUAUUUUGUAAUUCUUAAAAGCUGAUGGAUGAUCCAGGACACCUGUGCUGUCUCCAGGAGAAGUAUCCUCAUUGAAAGUAAAGCAAGCUUCUUUUUUGUUGGCUGGGCAUGGUGGCUCAUGCCUGUAAUCCCAUCACUUUGAGUAGCUGGGGUGGGAGGACUGCUUAAAACUAGGAGAUUGAGAUCAGCCUGGGCAACAAAGUGAGACCCACCCCGCAUCCAUACAAAAAUGUAAAAGAUUAGCCAGACAUGUUGGCAUGCACCUGUAGUCCUAGCAACUCAGGAGGCUGAGAUGGAGGGUCCCUGGAGCCCAGGAGUUCGAGGCUGCAGGGAGCUAUGAUCAUACGACUGUGUUCCAGUCUGGGCAACAGAGUGAGACCCUGUGUCUUCAUUCUAAAAAAAAAAAAAAAAA